AGGACGAACGCUGGCGGCGUGCCUAACACAUGCAAGUCGAACGGACGAAGGGAGCUUGCUCCCCUAGUUAGUGGCGAACGGGUGAGUAACGCGUGAGCAACCUGCCUUUCAGAGGGGGACAACGGUCGGAAACGACCGCUAAUACCGCAUGAAGCAAUCGGACCGCAUGAUCUGAUUGCCAAAGAUUUAUCGCUGAAAGAUGGGCUCGCGUCUGAUUAGAUAGUUGUGGGUAACGGCCCACCAAGUCGACGAUCAGUAGCCGGACUGAGAGGUUGAACGGCCACAUUGGGACUGAGAUACGGCCCAGACUCCUACGGGAGGCAGCAGUGGGGAAUAUUGGGGCCAAUGGGGGAAACCCUGACCCAGCAACGCCGCGUGAAGGAAGAAGGCUUUCGGGUUGUAAACUUCUUUUACCGAGGACGAAGAACGUGACGGUACUCGGAGAAAAAGCCACGGCUAACUACGUGCCAGCCGCCGC
RNAcentral lists this ribosomal RNA (478 nucleotides) under uncultured bacterium. RNAcentral describes it as "bacterial SSU rRNA". It matches the Rfam family "Bacterial small subunit ribosomal RNA", at positions 26 to 518 of the family's 1533-position model. The record is from RNAcentral.